GCGCGGUCCCGUGGCUUGCCCGUUAAACCUGGCUGAGUUAAAACUGUUACUGUCGCGAGGAGCUCCGACCGUGCCCACCGCGAGGACACGUCAAAUCACAGUUGUACUCUCUCCUUUCGCAGGGUCAGAUCAACGGAGUCCAACAUCUUCGUGGCAUAACAGAAGCGGUUCUGGAACGGGAAAGAACGCUUAAGUCGUUUUAUGGAGGCUUGUGGGACGCAACGAAACAUUUCUUAAAGUGUUGGCACUGAGGAUAUCAGUCCAGAUCCACCUUUAAUUCGGAACAUAGUCUUGUUUGGAUUUCAGCCUGUUUGAAAUGUGGCGUUAUGUGCUCGAGAUAAAUGUGCUAUGUGUGUGAUUUGGAGAGGAUCUUGUGGAAGGUGUCCAGUGGGAAAGAGACUGGGUGGACUCAUCUGCAACUGAUCGCCGUUUUCUGAGCGCAAUGGACUUGGAAUGAAGACAAAACAUGGAUAUAAUCUGGGAAAUAUUUAUUAUCCUUCAAGCCAAUCUCAUCGUUUGCACUUCAGUUUUGACAGGAAGCAAAGCGAUGCAGAUGUCACCACUAACAUCCUGACUGUGGACCUCCAGCACGCCGCCAAUUACUUGAAGUCUCUCGGACAGAACAUUGUGAAAUUAACAGCUUUAGAUGUCUAUUCUGAAUGACUUCUUACUUCAUUUUCGCUUUAUAGAUUUGAAGCAUUUCUUUCUGCUGAAGCCAGUAAAUAUGUUAUUGGGGCAUCGCCAAGCUGUGUGGGAAAUGGAAUAGAACUUAGCUGCUUUUCUUAAACUGCUGUCAUAAUGAAAUAUGUGAUGUCUCAUUUUCAUGCAACCCUGCACAUUGAACUGGGACACACAUAAGAUCUGAGUGCAAUGAAUUACAUUCAAUCACAACUGUUCUUUGGUCCCUGUAAGCUUGCAGCCGUAUACACACUUACAUGAAAGCCAUCAAAAAUCUAAUUUUAAUCACAAAAGGCAUAAAAACACUACACUUGGAUGUUCUGUGGAAAGCUUUUGUUGCAUAAAGUCUGGAGUGCUUGAGUCUUUUGCUUUCAGAAAUGAUCAAUUGGCGUUAUGUUUUCCUAUCCUGUCUCUGUCCUGCUAAUGACGGCAGCUUUGAGCUGCAGGGAUGGGAGCUUUGUUUUCCCCACUGAGAGGGAGAGAGAUGGUUUGAUG
RNAcentral lists this long non-coding RNA (1173 nucleotides) under Sinocyclocheilus grahami. RNAcentral's name for it is "lncRNA (ENSSGRG00000036312.1)". The record is from RNAcentral. Lineage: Eukaryota; Metazoa; Chordata; Actinopteri; Cypriniformes; Cyprinidae.